UUCGCUGUGAUUAUGUUGGAGAAAAUGCAAAUUGUUUUACUUCCUCUGAAGUUUGCGUUUAAAUAUGCAUUGAUUUACUUUUGUGCUGAAAACUGAUGCAAUUCCUCCUCUUGAUUAAUUUGUUCUAAAAUAAUAACAUGUAUAGGUAAUCACUGAUGCUAUUCCAAACAAUGUUGGGAGAAAGCUUAUUGGACUGGUGACCUCAAGAGAAGAAAUUCCUAACCUGCUUAAGGUGAGCAGCUGUUUGAUUUAUAUUCAAACGGAUUUCAAUUCUGACAGUGUCUGCUUAAAACUUAAAAGGCCUGGACUGACGCUUCUUUUAUUCUUAUCAGCUUGAUGAUGUGAUCGAUCUUGUGAUUCCUAGAGGCAGCAACAAGCUGGUUUCCACUAUCAAAGCAUCAACCAAAAUCCCUGUUCUGGGUCACGCUGGUUAGAUGAAUGACUAUAUCAUUUCUCAUUGGCCACAUAUGGUUUUGUGACCUUACCAAACUUGAAAAACACACUUUUUUUUCCUGCACAGAUGGAAUUUGUCAUAUAUAUGUCGACAAGUCUGCUAAAAUGGACACGGCCAAGCGUAUUGUGGUAGAUGCGAAAGUGGACUAUCCAGCAGCCUGUAAUGCAAUGGUAAUCUUGUCUUUUGUUUCAGUUUAUUCACUUGCUUGUUGCUAUUCCCUGAUAAACAAUGUGAAUUCAAUAUUUAAGUCUUGUCUCUCUUUGGCUUGCUGUGUCCAGGAAACUCUUCUGGUGCAUAAGGAUUUGCUUCCCACUCGUGCUCUGAAUGAGCUAAUAGUCGAUCUUGGAAGUGAAGGUAGGAUCUGUUUUGUCAUGCAAUUAACUAAGACACAAGUUUACAGACCGACUAUAAAAUGAGAUGUCUCUAUUUUAGGUGUGAUUGUAUAUGGCGGGCCAAGGGCAAGCAAGGAGCUGAACAUUCCGGAGACAGCAUCGUUCCAUCACGAGUACAACUCCCUGGCAUGCACUAUUGAGAUUGUCGAUGAUGUCCAGGCUGCUAUUAAUCACAUACAUGAACAUGGAAGGCAUAAUUUCAAUUCUAUUCACUGUGUAAAUUAUGUUGGCACUGCGAGAUGAGUUUCGUGUCGUGAUGUUGUUUCCUCUUUGUCUGCAGUGCACAUACUGAUUGCAUCAUUGCAGAAGACCCUGAAGUAGCAGAGACUUUUUUACGACAAGUUGACAGGUAAAGGACACAUGUUUCAGUUGAGCUGACUUGAGUAUCAAAGUGUAGCUUCAGCCUCAAGUUACUAACAGCACUUAAACUGGUGAUCUUGAUUCUGUUCACAAAUGCAGUGCUGCUGUUUUCCACAAUGCAAGUACAAGAUUCUGCGAUGGAGCAAGAUUCGGACUUGGUGCAGAGGUAACUAAAACUCUUCUGUCAGUCUGUUUAACCACACCAUUACUUAAAAGUGUCCUGACCUGAAAGAUCCUUAUAACUGGAUUCUCCUUGAUGGGUGAUACAGGUGGGAAUCAGUACAAGUAGAAUCCACGCUCGAGGCCCCGUAGGAGUCGAAGGAUUGUUGACAACCCGAUGGUGAGAAGCCACUCAUAAUCGGUUUGACCCCACGAUCAUUUUAACAUGUUCCGGUUUUCUGAACAAGUUGCCACAUUUUCUCUUGUGCAGGAAACUGAGAGGCACUGGGCAAGUAGUGGAUGGUGAUAGGGGAGUGACCUACACCCACAAGGACAUAGCUGUAUAGGUUGCAGUCUGAGUCGAGAAAGGAGGCGCCUUUAACCACCAUCUAGAAGCAUGAGAAGUAAUCGGUCAACCUUUGCUUACGACCGUUGCUUGGGGUUUAAUAAACCAUGUUUAGGGUGCAUAUGUAAUAUGUUCUGUGACCUUUGUGUUACUCAAUAAGUUUCCAUAUCUUCAUUGUUGGAAGUGAAGGUUAUUUAUUUACCACCAUUUGUAAGUGUUUUUGGUUACGUCUGGUGCUGUUGGCCUCGGCCGCCAAAGGCUCAGAUAUCGCAAGUUAGUCAACAGCAGGUCUGUUCUCCGAAAAUUUGUAUUGUUUCACUUUACUGAUCUCUGAUGCAUUUUGGGAACAAUUUUUAACGUCAAAGAGGAAAAUAGCCAAGUAGAUGAUUUAUCAAUCUGUCGUUUUUACUUUUUAUUUGAAACGGGAAUAGUUUGUUUGGGGGAUAUACUGAUUUGGUACAUGGAAUCUGUUUAUUUUUCUGGUUAUGUAGCUUUGCUGAUCUCCAGAAGCCACCGGGUGAUCUGGACGGGAAGGGGUGUGCUGCUGUUGGACAGAACAGUAUCAUGGCCCUUUAUGACACCUUGUUCAGUCAGGUGAUUGAUUAUUCAUUUAGAUAUAUCCAUAUGAUAUGCAUCUCAUGUUCAGUAGCUGAUGAAGUUUCCCAUGGGGUCUUGUGUGCAGCUGGAUGUGACUUCUGCUCAGAUUCUCGUGACUGAUAAUGAUUUUAGGGAUAAAGAUCUCAGGACUCAACUUCAGCAGACUGUUGACUCGCUGCUCAACCUCAGGGUUGUCCCCAUUUUCAACGAGAAUGAUGCAGUCAGUACCCGGAAAGCCCCAUAUGAGGCAUGCAACCUUUUGCCUUCUUUCUCCAACUUGUUGUGUUACGUUUCUGUGGUUUUUAAUUUACUUUAAUCUGUUUUUAAUUUCACGAUUUGCACCCAACUUGAUAGUCUGACUAGUGAGCACCCUCUACAGGAUUCCUCUGGCAUCUUCUGGGACAAUGACAGCUUGGCUGCCUUGCUUGCAUUGGAGUUGAACGCUGAUCUUCUUGUUCUGCUGAGUGACGUGGACGGUCUUUACAGCGGUCCACCAAGUGAUCCAAAGUCAAAGUUGAUUCAUACAUACAUUAAGGAAGUGCAUCAAGGUGGAAUCACGUUUGGAGACAAGUCUAGGGUGGGAAGAGGCGGAAUGACAGCAAAAGUUAAGGCUGCUGUCAAUGCUGCUAAUGCAGGUGUUCCUGUUAUCAUAACCAGGUAUUCUUCUGUGCUGUAAAAAUACUUUUUCCUUGAUUCCUUCUAUGUUUGCCAGUGUUCUAACAUGUAAGAUAUUAUCUUUAACUGUUUCCCGUUUCUCUCAAUGUGUAAUGAUCUUUUGGUUGGCUAUUUUGAAGCGGAUUUGCUCUCCAGAACAUAAUUAAAGUCCUCCAUGGAGAUGAUAUUGGCACUCUCUUUCACCGGGAUGCUCACUCGUGGGUCAGAACGAAAGAAACGGGAGCCCGUGACAUGGCUGUUGCAGCAAGGGAGUGUUCUAGACGUCUGCAGGUACGGCUGUUUAUAUUGUUAAAAGUUAAAUUUUCUUUUGUUUUAUUUGUAUAAAAAAUAAUCUAGAGAGGGAACCUUCACAACUGUACAGUUCAAAAAUUUACUGGCUUGAUAAUGAGAUGACAUAAUGAAUUAAUGAUCAUGACCUCUUCCGCAGGCACUAUCCUCAGAAGAGAGGAACAAGAUAUUGCUGGAUAUAGCAGAUGCCCUCGAAGCCAAUGAAAAAGUAAUUAAGGUUGAGAAUGAUGCAGACCUUGCUGCUGCUGAGCAGGAAGGACUAGAAAGCUCCUUGUUAGCACGGUUGGCACUGAAGCCCGGGAAGGCAAGAUACCCUGGUGCUGUUGCUCUGUUAUGUCUUUAUUUCUUGUGACUGCUUCGGACAGUGUAACUGCUUUCUGGCUUUAUGACGUAGCAGCACUGCUGGCAAUGAUGAUAUCCAUUUCUAAUCUUGUUUAUGCUAACCUUCCAGAUUACAAGUCUUGCUAAAUCCUUGCGUGUCCUUGCAAACAUGGAAGAUCCAGUCGGCCAUGUAUUGAAGAAAACUGAAGUAAGAAUAUUACAGCUAUUAUUCUGUAUCUUUCUUCUCAUAUUCUGGAAACUUGGGUUCAAUCUGUCCAGGGUUUAUACUCUAGUAACAUAGCUAAUAUAAAUUUACACUGUUGAUGUUACAGCUUGCAGAUGGUCUUGUUUUAGAAAAGACAUCUUCUCCUCUAGGUGUUCUCCUGAUUGUGUUUGAGGCUCGGCCUGAUGCACUAGUGCAGGUGGGUUAAACCAUGGUCAGCAAACUUUGUCCUCCUAAAACCCGAGUCUAGUUGUUUACUAAUGUGUUGUUGUUGUUGUUGUUGUUGUAUUCCUUAUACAGAUAGCUUCAUUGGCUAUACGCAGUGGAAAUGGUCUCUUACUGAAAGGGGGGAAGGAGGCCAAGCGAUCGAAUGCAAUUUUGCAUAAGGUCUAGUUCAAUGUGAUCAUGUUGGAGAAAAUGCAAAUUCUUUUACUUCCUCUGAAGUUUGCUUCUAGAUAUGAAUUGUUUUACAUUUGUGCUGACUACUGAUGCUAUUCCUCCUCUUUUAUUAAUUUGUUCUAAAAUAAUAACAUGUAUAGGUAAUCACUGAUGCUAUUCCAAACAAUGUUGGGAGAAAGCUUAUUGGACUGGUGACCUCAAGAGAAGAAAUUCCUGACCUGCUUAAGGUGGGCAGCUGUUUGAUAUAUAUUCAAACGGAUGUAAAUUCAGACAAUGUCUGCUUAAAAUUUAAAAGGCCUGGACUGACGCUUCUUCUAUUCUUAUCAGCUUGAUGAUGUGAUCGAUCUUGUGAUUCCUAGAGGCAGCAAUAAGCUGGUUUCCACUAUCAAAGCAUCAACCAAAAUCCCUGUUCUGGGUCACGCAGGUUAGAUGAAUGACUAAUAUCAUAUCUCAUUGGCCACAUGUGGUUUUGUGACCUUACCAAACUUGAAAAACACAUUUUUUUCCUGCACAGAUG
RNAcentral lists this long non-coding RNA (4731 nucleotides) under Linum usitatissimum (flax). Its description in RNAcentral is "long non-coding RNA (LUSI_LNC007971)". The record is from RNAcentral. Lineage: Eukaryota; Viridiplantae; Streptophyta; Magnoliopsida; Malpighiales; Linaceae.